Molecule: ribosomal RNA, 717 nt
Filed under: Pseudomonas putida
Lineage: Bacteria; Pseudomonadati; Pseudomonadota; Gammaproteobacteria; Pseudomonadales; Pseudomonadaceae
Description: bacterial SSU rRNA
Rfam family: Bacterial small subunit ribosomal RNA
Source: RNAcentral
UGCAGUCGAGCGGAUGACGGGAGCUUGCUCCUUGAUUCAGCGGCGGACGGGUGAGUAAUGCCUAGGAAUCUGCCUGGUAGUGGGGGACAACGUUUCGAAAGGAACGCUAAUACCGCAUACGUCCUACGGGAGAAAGCAGGGGACCUUCGGGCCUUGCGCUAUCAGAUGAGCCUAGGUCGGAUUAGCUAGUAGGUGAGGUAAUGGCUCACCUAGGCGACGAUCCGUAACUGGUCUGAGAGGAUGAUCAGUCACACUGGAACUGAGACACGGUCCAGACUCCUACGGGAGGCAGCAGUGGGGAAUAUUGGACAAUGGGCGAAAGCCUGAUCCAGCCAUGCCGCGUGUGUGAAGAAGGUCUUCGGAUUGUAAAGCACUUUAAGUUGGGAGGAAGGGCAGUAAGUUAAUACCUUGCUGUUUUGACGUUACCGACAGAAUAAGCACCGGCUAACUCUGUGCCAGCAGCCGCGGUAAUACAGAGGGUGCAAGCGUUAAUCGGAAUUACUGGGCGUAAAGCGCGCGUAGGUGGUUCGUUAAGUUGGAUGUGAAAGCCCCGGGCUCAACCUGGGAACUGCAUCCAAAACUGGCGAGCUAGAGUAUGGUAGAGGGUGGUGGAAUUUCCUGUGUAGCGGUGAAAUGCGUAGAUAUAGGAAGGAACACCAGUGGCGAAGGCGACCACCUGGACUGAUACUGACACUGAGGUGCGAAAGCGUGGGGAGC